Molecule: ribosomal RNA, 483 nt
Filed under: uncultured bacterium
Lineage: Bacteria
Description: partial 16S ribosomal RNA
Rfam family: Bacterial small subunit ribosomal RNA
Source: RNAcentral
AUUGAACGCUAGCGGGAUGCUUUACACAUGCAAGUCGAACGGCAGCGCGGACUUCGGUCUGGCGGCGAGUGGCGAACGGGUGAGUAAUGUAUCGGAACGUGCCCAGUAGCGGGGGAUAACUACGCGAAAGCGUAGCUAAUACCGCAUACGCCCUACGGGGGAAAGCAGGGGAUCGUAAGACCUUGCACUAUUGGAGCGGCCGAUAUCGGAUUAGCUAGUUGGUGAGGUAACGGCUCACCAAGGCGACGAUCCGUAGCUGGUUUGAGAGGACGACCAGCCACACUGGGACUGAGACACGGCCCAGACUCCUACGGGAGGCAGCAGUGGGGAAUUUUGGACAAUGGGGCAACCCUGAUCCAGCCAUCCCGCGUGUGCGAUGAAGGCCUUCGGGUUGUAAAGUACUUUUGGCAGGAAAGAAACGUCGCGGGCUAAUACCCCGUGGAACUGACGGUACCUGCAGAAUAAGCACCGGCUAACUACGUG